UGCGGGAUGACGGCCUUCGGGUUGUAAACCGCUUUUGACAGGGACGAAGCGCAAGUGACUGUACCUGUAGAAUAAGGACCGGCCAACUACGUGCCAGCAGCCGCGGUAAUACGUAGGGUCCGAGCGUUGUCCGGAAUUACUGGGCGUAAAGAGCUUGUAGGCGGUUCGUCGCGUCGUUUGUGAAAACUUGGGGCUCAACCUUAAGCUUGCAGGCGAUACGGGCGGACUAGAGUACUUCAGGGGAGACUGGAAUUCCUGGUGUAGCGGUGAAAUGCGCAGAUAUCAGGAGGAACACCGGUGGCGAAGGCGGGUCUCUGGGAAGUAACUGACGCUGAGAAGCGAAAGCAUGGGUAGCAAACAGGAUUAGAUACCCUGGUAGUCCAUGCCGUAAACGGUGGGUACUAGGUGUGGGGCUCCUUCCACGGACUCCGUGCCGUAGCUAACGCAUUAAGUACCCCGCC
This 461-nucleotide ribosomal RNA is filed under the name Nocardia sp. RNAcentral's name for it is "bacterial SSU rRNA". It matches the Rfam family "Bacterial small subunit ribosomal RNA", at positions 402 to 873 of the family's 1533-position model. The record is from RNAcentral. Lineage: Bacteria; Bacillati; Actinomycetota; Actinomycetes; Mycobacteriales; Nocardiaceae.